GGGCCGCUGGUCUAGUGGUAUGAUUCUCGCUUAGGGCCACACCCAAGUAUACCAAGAGCUGAACCUGCCUAAAUAGGUUCUUAUAUUUGCGAGAGGUCCCGGGUUCAAUCCCCGGGUGGCCCC
Molecule: non-coding RNA, 123 nt
Organism: Rhypophila decipiens
Lineage: Eukaryota; Fungi; Ascomycota; Sordariomycetes; Sordariales; Naviculisporaceae
Source: the annotation of a GenBank genome assembly